This 715-nucleotide long non-coding RNA is filed under the name Triticum aestivum (bread wheat). Its description in RNAcentral is "long non-coding RNA (TAES_LNC021370)". Lineage: Eukaryota; Viridiplantae; Streptophyta; Magnoliopsida; Poales; Poaceae. The record is from RNAcentral.
UAUCUUUUUAUUCAUUUUGAUAACAAGUAUUUCCAAUACACGAAUUCUACUUGUGGUAGAAGACGAAAACAAGUCAAGAUGAGCCGGAGAUAGUUAGCCAAAUCUGCAAGGAAAAAUGGACGGUAAGGAAGGAGCCACAUCAUACGAGCACGUACCACCACUCUCCUUGCUUUAAAACUAGUUCUAAUUUGGCGAGGCAUAAUCAGCAUAAUCAUUACCAUACAUCCAGGGGCUCCAUCUACUAACUUUACCCCAAAAGCCAUGGACAGGAUGCGGUGCAAAGAUUGAGCCAUGUGAUAUGUGUGCAGCAAAGAGGGGAAAAGGACAAUUCCGGAAGGAGGCCAACCACAAGCAGCGACACCAGGCCUACCACUACCAUACAUGAGAAUGGCAAGUUUGGAGCUGAAAUCAUGCCAUCAAUCAUCUCAUAUCAUACUAUCAUGCUUGCAUAACAGAUCGGGUGAAGAAGCAAAUGCUAGCACAAGUACAUACGCUCACCAUAUCACAUGCCCGCUUGAAGGUUCCGAUUCAAUCGCAUCACUCAACAACAAUAGGGACGAUAAUCGUCAGGAAAGAAAGAAAAACCUCAAUUUGUCCUAGUAGCAAAAAUCUGGCGGCGCGUUGGCCGCCAAUCGCCGAAUUAAUAGGGUAGCAGCCAGCCUCUCCCCGCGAAUCGCACGAAGAAGACGACUGGAAAGAAUCCCCGGGGGAAUUU